GCCUGCAUUCGAAAGUGAUUGUGGCAUUACCUGUGGCCUGGUCAUUGAUGCUGCAGGCAGAGUAUUGUAAAUGUUUCCCCGUGUUUAUGGGGGUGUCUGUCUCCCAUUGAGCCUUGUAAUGUUUCCACA
Small nucleolar RNA from Callorhinchus milii (elephant shark), 129 nucleotides. Its record names the gene SNORA71. It matches the Rfam family "Small nucleolar RNA SNORA71". From Rfam's summary of the family: The members of this family belong to the H/ACA class of snoRNAs which bind a number of proteins (including dyskerin, Gar1p and Nop10p) to form snoRNP complexes. This class of snoRNAs are thought to guide the sites of modification of uridines to pseudouridines by forming direct base pairing interactions with substrate RNAs. The record is from Ensembl. Lineage: Eukaryota; Metazoa; Chordata; Chondrichthyes; Chimaeriformes; Callorhinchidae.